RNA transcript from Hippoglossus stenolepis (Pacific halibut), 784 nucleotides. RefSeq lists it as uncharacterized. The transcript has 5 exons. The record is from RefSeq and is a predicted model, not a curated record. Lineage: Eukaryota; Metazoa; Chordata; Actinopteri; Pleuronectiformes; Pleuronectidae.
UUCUUAUAAUCUUCUUAUAAUUCUUAUAUUCCUGUUAAAUCACAUGUUAGUAUCAUGUCACAGGCUGAAAACCCACAUGAUGUUUUUCUCUUCGCUGUCAGAGCUGUUUGUUGCUUUGUUGGGACACUGUCUCUUUAAGUCAGAUCCCGCGGGAGUUCCGGUGUUCCCGCCAAACGUCACAAACCCGGAAGUAGUCGUGCCGUCAAAAAGCGAGUGAGGGCUGAGGAUCUGUAAUCACGUGUUCACCUCUGCGUGGUUUACCUGUGUGAUGUUUCCAGGGAACUGAACCGUGUAGGAGGUGAGAUGGGACCUGUUGGAGUCCAGGUGUGUUGACUGCACUGGAGUCAAAGAACCACAGUUCAGCCAUUUUUGUGUGAACCACAAUAUGCUGCGGAGGAGAUUUCUCCCGAGGAGACGAGGAGCUGUGAGUCGAGCAGACGCCACCGGGGACGAUGUUCUGGUGGAUGGAGGCGGCGACAGAAGCUCGGGCUGGUUUGUUCCAAAGCACAUGUCGUCAGGAACGGCUUCCCCUCUGCUCCUGGACCCUCUUCAUCACCGAGGGCGUCGUCUUAUCCACCCAAAUCCAUCAGAACGCUGGAAGAUGAAUGGGCGCCGUGUGUCUGGAGUUCAUUUGUGCAUCGCUCCAGAGAACGAAGUUGCCCUGUGAACUUCAGGAAGCCAUAAUGAAAUGGGAGAAGUUAAAGCCUCCGGAGCCAGAUGAUCCCAUGUGCUGCUGCGAGUGUGAUAUCUACCAGUACGGAUGCUGCUCUGACUGAGCAGGUUA